AGUUUGAUCCUGGCUCAGGAUGAACGCUAGCGGUGCGCCUAACACAUGCAAGUCGAGCGAUAUAGCGGCGAACGGGUGAGUAACACGUUGGAACCUGCCCCGGACUCAGGGAUAACACCGAGAAAUCGGUGCUAAUACCGGAUGGUCCCGCAAGGGUAAAGCUUUUGCGGUCCGGGAGGGGCCUGCGCAGUAUCAGUUUGUUGGUAGGGUAACGGCCUACCAAGACUACGACGCUUAGCUGGUCUGAGAGGAUGAUCAGCCACAAGUGGAACUGUAGGACACGGUUCCAUAUUUCCUACGGGAGGCAGGCAGUGAGGAAUCUUCCGCAAUGGGCGAAAGCCUGACGGAGCGACACCGCGUGAAGGAUGAAGGCCUUUUGGUUUUAACCUUUUUUUCUGAGGGAAUAAAUGAUGAAGGUACCUCAGGAAUAAGCACCGGCUAACUACGUGGCCAGCAGCCGCGGUAAUACGUAGGGUGCAAGCGUUAUCCGGAAUUAUUGGGCGUAAAGCGUGCGCAGGCGGUUUUGUAAGUUUGAGGUUAAAUCUGGUGGCUCAACCAUCAAAUCGUCUCAAAAACUGCUUAACUAGAGAAUGACAGAGGUAACUGGAAUUCUACAUGUAGGGGUAAAAUCCGUUGAUAUGUAGAGGAAUACCAAAAGCGAAGGCAGGUUACUGGGUCAUUUCUGACGCUGUUGCACGAAAGCGUGGGUAGCGAACAGGAUUAGAUACCCUGGUAGUCCACGCUGUAAACGAUGGAUACUCGGCUUGAGUGGGAUUCGACCCCCAUUUGGGCCCAAGCUAACGCGUUAAGUAUCCCGCCUGGGGAGUACGGUCGCAAGAUUAAAACUCAAAGGAAUAGACGGGGACCCACACAAGCGGUGGAGCAUGUGGUUUAAUUCGACGAUAAACGGGGAACCUUACCAAGGCUUGACAUCUCCGGAACUCGAUAGAAAUAUUGAGGUGCCGUAAGGAACCGGAUGACAGGUGCUGCAUGGUCGUCGUCAGCUCGUGCCUUGAGGUGUUCGGUUAAGUCCGUAAACGAGCGCAACCCAUGUCCUGUGUUGUAAUUCUCACAGGAGACUGCCGGCUCUAAGUCGGAGGAAGGUAUGGAUGACGUCAGAUCAGCAUGGCCCUUAUGCCUUGGGCCACACACGUGCUACAAUGGCCGGUACAAUGGGCAGCUAACCCGUAAGGGGGAGCAAAUCCCAUCAAAGCCGGUCUCAGUUCGGAUUGAGGGCUGCAAUUCGCCCUCAUGAAGUUGGAAUCGCUAGUAAACGCGAAUCAGACAUGUCGCGUUGAAUAUGUUCCUGGGUCUUGUACUCACCGCCCGUCACAUCAUGAAAGGUGGGGGUACCCGAAGUCGCCUUAGUCCUUCGGGACGGGUGCCUAAGGUAAACUCACUGAUUGGGAUGAAGUCGUAACAAGGUAACC
This 1430-nucleotide ribosomal RNA is filed under the name bacterium enrichment culture clone 24(2013). Its description in RNAcentral is "bacterial SSU rRNA". It matches the Rfam family "Bacterial small subunit ribosomal RNA". The record is from RNAcentral.